This 304-nucleotide ribosomal RNA is filed under the name uncultured bacterium. RNAcentral's name for it is "partial 16S ribosomal RNA". It matches the Rfam family "Bacterial small subunit ribosomal RNA", at positions 509 to 809 of the family's 1533-position model. The record is from RNAcentral.
CAGCAGUCGCCGCGGGAAUACGGAGGGUGCAAGCGUUAUCCGGAUUUAUUGGGUUUAAAGGGUCCGUAGGCGGAUCUGUAAGUCAGUGGUGAAAUCUCACAGCUUAACUGUGAAACUGCCAUUGAUACUGCAGGUCUUGAGUAAAUUUGAAGUGGCUGGAAUAAGUAGUGUAGCGGUGAAAUGCAUAGAUAUUACUUAGAACACCAAUUGCGAAGGCAGGUCACUAAGAUUUAACUGACGCUGAUGGACGAAAGCGUGGGGAGCGAACAGGAUUAGAUACCCGGGUAGUCCCUGUCUCUUAUAU